Non-coding RNA from Penaeus vannamei (Pacific white shrimp), 528 nucleotides. Lineage: Eukaryota; Metazoa; Arthropoda; Malacostraca; Decapoda; Penaeidae. The record is from RefSeq and is a predicted model, not a curated record.
AUUACGCCCAACGCCAGCGACUAUAACGUGUACCUCUCGGAGACAGGCUGCAACCCACGCCCACUGUACAGAGCGUGGUGUUCCGUCGAGAGCUUCGCACUGCAAAACCCAACAGCCAAGAUCUGGUACGUGAUCACCCCCGUACGUGGACGACACGGACAGCCUCGUCACAAUCCUCAGCGAGAGGUACAAGAAUUUAGAAGUCGUGGGCGCCGACCUCGACAAGAUGUUCACCGGAACUCCGCUUGAGAAACUUUUUAAGUCGGGGAAAUGGACGCGAAAUACACCCUGGCCGGCGAACAACCUCUCCAACCUUCUGCGGAACGUCCUCCUGUGGCGGUGGGGAGGGCUGAACGCCGACACCGACUGCAUCUGCGUCAGGAACGUCACGCACCUGCGCAACACGCUCUCUUACGACGAGAAGGACAGGGUCGCCAACAACGCCAUCAUGCACUUCGAAGCCCGCCAUCGGUUCGUUCUCGCAACCAUGGAAUACCUGAAACGAAAUUUCAAGGUCGCUACGUGGCA